CUAAGGAUUAUGUCAGUGGAACAUCCUUGUGAUGAUGAAGCUGCACAUUCGGAAAUGAACCUUUGGUUCAUACGUUGACAUUUUGCGUUCAGUUUUGAAGGUUCAUAUCAAACGAUUUCAAUCGUUUAUAUAUGAAUAUCUUCAAACUUGUUCAUUGAAAACUGGAUAAAACGACAUUGAAGCAACAAAUCAAGACAAUCAACCGAGUCGGACACAUUUUUGUGAGCCGAACAGCGAUUCUUUUGUUCUUUCUUCUCAUUCAUCGCUGAAUGAAAGAAGAACGUUAACUUUUU
Molecule: unclassified non-coding RNA, 293 nt
Filed under: uncultured bacterium
Lineage: Bacteria
Description: 16S-23S ribosomal RNA intergenic spacer
Source: RNAcentral